AGGACGAACGCUGGCGGCGUGCUUAACACAUGCAAGUCGAGCGGAAAGGCCUUUCGGGGUACUCGAGCGGCGAACGGGUGAGUAACACGUGAGUAAUCUGCCCAUCGCUUCAGGAUAGCCAUCGGAAACGGUGAUUAAUACUGGAUAUGACAUUCCUUCGCAUGUUGGGGUGUGGAAAGUUUUUUCGGCGGUGGAUGUGCUCGCGGCCUAUCAGCUUGUUGGUGGGGUAAUGGCCUACCAAGGCUUUGACGGGUAGCCGGCCUGAGAGGGUGACCGGCCACACUGGGACU
Molecule: ribosomal RNA, 290 nt
Filed under: uncultured soil bacterium
Lineage: Bacteria
Description: partial 16S ribosomal RNA
Rfam family: Bacterial small subunit ribosomal RNA
Source: RNAcentral